This 76-nucleotide transfer RNA is filed under the name Felis catus (domestic cat). It matches the Rfam family "tRNA". Rfam says of the family: Transfer RNA (tRNA) molecules are approximately 80 nucleotides in length. The record is from Rfam by way of RNAcentral. Lineage: Eukaryota; Metazoa; Chordata; Mammalia; Carnivora; Felidae. RNAcentral also lists the same sequence under 2 other names.
ACUCAGUUGGUUAAGCAUCUGACUUCAGGUCAGGUCAUGAUCUCACAGUUCGUGAGUUCAAGUCUCACACUGGGUG